UGAAAUUACUCAGUUGACCGUCAUAUAACAACUAACCGGCCAUCGGUGACCGCAACUCGUUCGUCUUGUCAGUCAUAGAUUUUGCUGUUCGGCGCGCGCAUCUUUCUUGCCAUUGGCUGUGUCGAUAGUCACGCCUGUUAACAUGCGCAGUGUUCAUGUAUUUACGUUUGAUCACGUACCAAAUAACGCGCCCACAACUUUAACGACCAACACGACGACCAAUUUAAAAAAAAUAGGAAACGCCACUGAGUUGCCAGUCGGUGUUGUUGACAAACGUUAUCGCUAUUGUAACAUGAUAAAUACUAUUUUGUGUUUUCGAACAGUUUAUCAUAUUCUUUUAUCGUUGAAUACUCAUUUCGACAAUUUAAGUAAACAGGUAAUCUAAAAUGUUACAUCACCACUAUUUUUUGGGAUGAAACGACUACGACCUUUUGAUUUUAAAAUGGUAACAUAUAUAAAAUGGUCCAUGUAUAUAUAAAA
Molecule: non-coding RNA, 480 nt
Organism: Cinara cedri
Lineage: Eukaryota; Metazoa; Arthropoda; Insecta; Hemiptera; Aphididae
Source: the annotation of a GenBank genome assembly